This 301-nucleotide ribosomal RNA is filed under the name uncultured bacterium. RNAcentral describes it as "partial 16S ribosomal RNA". It matches the Rfam family "Bacterial small subunit ribosomal RNA", at positions 509 to 808 of the family's 1533-position model. The record is from RNAcentral.
CAGCGCCGCGGGAACACGAAGGGUGCAAGCGUUACUCGGAAUUACUGGGCGUAAAGCGUGCGUAGGUGGUGGUUUAAGUCCGUUGUGAAAGCCCUGGGCUCAACCUGGGAAUUGCAGUGGAUACUGGGUCACUAGAAUGUGGUAGAGGAUAGUGGAAUUUCCGGUGUAGCAGUGAAAUGCGUAGAGAUCGGAAGGAACAUCUGUGGCGAAGGCGACUAUCUGGGCCAACACUGACACUGAGGCACGAAAGCGUGGGGAGCAAACAGGAUUAGAUACCCCAGUAGUCCCUGUCUCUUAUACA